Molecule: ribosomal RNA, 270 nt
Filed under: uncultured archaeon
Lineage: Archaea
Description: partial 16S ribosomal RNA
Rfam family: Archaeal small subunit ribosomal RNA
Source: RNAcentral
CAGCACCUCAAGUGGUCAGGAUGAUUAUUGGGCCUAAAGCAUCCGUAGCCGGCGCUGUAAGUUGUCGGUUAAAUCUGUACGCUCAACGUACAGGCUGCCGGGAAUACUGCAGCGCUAGGGAGUGGGAGAGGUAGACGGUACUCGGUAGGAAGGGGUAAAAUCCUUUGAUCUAUUGAUGACCACCUGUGGCGAAGGCGGUCUACCAGAACACGUCCGACGGUGAGGGAUGAAAGCUGGGGGAGCAAACCGGAUUAGAUACCCGAGUAGUCC